This 72-nucleotide transfer RNA is filed under the name Bos taurus (domestic cattle). It matches the Rfam family "tRNA". From Rfam's summary of the family: Transfer RNA (tRNA) molecules are approximately 80 nucleotides in length. The record is from Rfam by way of RNAcentral. Lineage: Eukaryota; Metazoa; Chordata; Mammalia; Artiodactyla; Bovidae. RNAcentral also lists the same sequence under 4 other names.
UCCCUGGUGACUCAGCUGGUAAAGAAUCUGCCUGCAAUGCAGGAGGCCUGGGUUCGAUCCCUAGGUUGGGAA